GUCCCGCCCUCGCAUGCGCCUGGUGGUCACCGCGGACGACUUUGGUUACUGCCCGCGACGCGAUGAGGGUAUCGUGGAGGCCUUUCUGGCCGGGGCCGUGACCAGCGUGUCCCUGCUGGUCAACGGUGCGGCCACGGAGAGCGCGGCGGAGUUGGCCCGCAGGCACAGCAUCCCCACGGGCCUCCACGCCAACCUGUCCGAGGGCCGCCCCGUGGGUCCGGCCCGCCGUGGCGCCUCGUCGCUGCUCGGCCCGGAAGGCUUCUUCCUUGGCAAGAUGGGAUUCCGGGAGGCAGUGGCGGCCGGAGACGUGGAUUUGCCUCAGGUGCGGAGCCGCAGCUACAGGAGGAUGCUCGCGAGGACCCCCAGAGCUCCGCCCGGAGGGUACUGUGAGGGCGUUAGGAGCUGGCGGUGGAUGACUUCCUCAUUCAAACACUGGAGCCGCCACACGGAAGCACGAGGAGGGUAUCUUCGGCAGCUACUCUCGGUCGCUCAAGGUGUCUCUCGCUCGCCCUCUAGGUGCGGGAGGAGCUCGAGGCCCAACUAAGCUGCUUCCGGGAGCUGCUGGGCAGGGCCCCCACGCACGUGGACGGGCACCAGCACGUGCACGUGCUCCCAGGUGCGUGGUUAGUGAUCCCAGUUUGGAGGGCGUUACUCCCAGGCGGGGCUGGGGGAGUAGGGGAAGUUCGAUGCCCCCAGGUGAAGGGACGUGCUCCUCCCUGACCCGCUCCGCCCGCAGGCGUGUGCCAGGUGUUCGCCGAGGCGCUGCAGGCCUAUGGGGUGCGCUUUACGCGACUGCCGCUGGAGCGCGGUGUGGGUGGCUGCACUUGGCUGGAGGCCCCCGCGCGCGCCUUCGCCUGCGCCGUGGAGCGCGACGCCCGGGCCGCCGUGGGCCCCUUCUCCCGCCACGGCCUGCGGUGGACAGACGCCUUCGUGGGCCUGAGCACUUGCGGCCGGCACAUGUCCGCUCACCGCGUGUCCGGGGCCCUGGCGCGGGUCCUGGAAGGUACCCUAGCGGGCCACACCCUGACAGCCGAGCUGAUGGCGCACCCCGGCUACCCCAGUGUGCCUCCCACCGGCGGCUGCGGUGAAGGCCCCGACGCUUUCUCUUGCUCUUGGGAGCGGCUGCAUGAGCUGCGCGUCCUCACCGCGCCCACGCUGCGGGCCCAGCUUGCCCAGGAUGGCGUGCAGCUUUGCGCCCUCGACGACCUAGACUCCAAGAGGCCAGGGGAGGAGGUCCCCUGUGAGGCCACUCUGGAAGCCUUCCUGGAACCCUCCCUACUCUGACCCCCUACAGACAACCAAGCACUAAUCCCCUUAGUACCAAGAAAGGGGAGCCAGGAUUUAGUCCCGGCCCAGCCCACAGCCGGGCCCUGGAGCACGAUCUGUUGACUUCCCUGGGUAGGACACUGCCACCUCUGGGCCCAGGUCCUCAUGGCUCCAAAUGGCAUCUAGAGUUUGAGCAGCCUUCUUGGCUGUAGGCAGGCCCAGCCUGUGGCAGCGGGCUAGGGCCCGCAGAGCAUUUGGUGCCCCUCCAUGUUGCAGUGCAAACAUCUUCACCACUGGGGCAGUGGGGAGAGAUGGCUAUAUUAAUAAAAUAACGUGUGUCUUUCAAA
RNAcentral lists this small RNA (1613 nucleotides) under Pongo abelii (Sumatran orangutan). Its description in RNAcentral is "retained intron". Lineage: Eukaryota; Metazoa; Chordata; Mammalia; Primates; Hominidae. The record is from RNAcentral.